AGUGGCGGACGGGUGAGUAACACGUGGGUAACCUGCCCUUAAGUGGGGGAUAACAUUUGGAAACAGAUGCUAAUACCGCAUAGAUCCAAGAACCGCAUGGUUCUUGGCUGAAAGAUGGCGUAAGCUAUCGCUUUUGGAUGGACCCGCGGCGUAUUAGCUAGUUGGUGAGGUAAUGGCUCACCAAGGCGAUGAUACGUAGCCGAACUGAGAGGUUGAUCGGCCACAUUGGGACUGAGACACGGCCCAAACUCCUACGGGAGGCAGCAGUAGGGAAUCUUCCACAAUGGACGCAAGUCUGAUGGAGCAACGCCGCGUGAGUGAAGAAGGCUUUCGGGUCGUAAAACUCUGUUGUUGGAGAAGAAUGGUCGGCAGAGUAACUGUUGUCGGCGUGACGGUAUCCAACCAGAAAGCCACGGCUAACUACGUGCCAGCAGCCGCGGUAAUACGUAGGUGGCAAGCGUUAUCCGGA
Molecule: ribosomal RNA, 469 nt
Filed under: Lacticaseibacillus casei
Lineage: Bacteria; Bacillati; Bacillota; Bacilli; Lactobacillales; Lactobacillaceae
Description: bacterial SSU rRNA
Rfam family: Bacterial small subunit ribosomal RNA
Source: RNAcentral